GAACGCCCGUAGCAAUACGGGAGUGGCAGACGGGAGAGUAACACGUGGGAACGUGCCCUUCAGUUCGGAACAACCCAGGGAAACUUGGGCUAAUACCGGAUACGUCCGUAAGGAGAAAGAUUUAUCGCUGAAGGAUCGGCCCGCGUCUGAUUAGCUAGUUGGUGGGGUAAUGGCCCACCAAGGCGACGAUCAGUAGCUGGUCUGAGAGGAUGAUCAGCCACACUGGGACUGAGACACGGCCCAGACUCCUACGGGAGGCAGCAGUGGGGAAUCUUGGACAAUGGGGGAAACCCUGAUCCAGCGACGCCGCGUGGGUGAUGAAGGCCUUCGGGUCGUAAAGCCCU
This 344-nucleotide ribosomal RNA is filed under the name uncultured bacterium. RNAcentral's name for it is "bacterial SSU rRNA". It matches the Rfam family "Bacterial small subunit ribosomal RNA", at positions 64 to 434 of the family's 1533-position model. The record is from RNAcentral.